CCGCCGCCACGCCGCCACGCCGCCACGCCGCCACGCCGUGGCUUAAAGCCAUAGCAUCAGUUAUUUUUGCUGACAAAUCUGAGGGCUGCCUGGGCUCAGGUGCUGGCCCUACCACAUUUCUUACCUGGCAGCCAGAGUCUCCCAGAGAGCGUGUGCCAAGUGCGACUGGCAGCGGCCAAGUGGCUGCCAUCCUGCUGCUUGAGGGCAUCACAAAGGCCACACAGGUUGGAGGUGGCGGGGGCGACAGAGAUGGCAUCUCUCGGCGGGAAGGGGGGGGCGGGUGGGUAUCAAUGAAUUGGAAAAUCCCACAGGACCCCGUGUGUUCCCACACAUCCUCUGCCCAGGGAAGGGGGGCGGAAGCUCCCAGAGGCCCUAACCACCUCCACUCUGGGGCUGCUCUGCUCACCGAGCUCGCUCUUCAGUGUCUGGAAGGACUUGGGGCAGAAAGAAGCACCAUGUGUGACGGAGGGGGAUGCUGUCAGCUUGAGGCCAGCGGGGCCCACCCUGUAGUGGAAUCAGAGGACGGCAGAGGGUCUGUGUCGGAUCCCAGAGGCGCCUGCUACGUCUGGAGCUGGAUUUUAACCCGAGUCUGCCAGCUCAGACCCAGCUCUUUCAACUACCUGAAAAUGAUCACCAUGCUGAAAUUCAAGAGACCAGGAUUCCAGUCUGAUCUUUAUAACUAAUUAGCCUCGAAGAAGGCUGUGCUUGGUGUCUCCUCCUUUCAGAAUGGGGACUAGAUCCCACCUCUGUGACAUGGAUGGAGCACGGGGCUGUGCAUCACAAAGGUGGGGUAUUUUGUGGGGUUUUUUUUUUUUUUAAGAUUUUGGCCACACCCACAGCAUGUGGGAUCUUAGUUCCCUGACCAGGGAUCGAACCCAUGCCGCCAGCAUUGGAAGGCAGAGCCUUAACCACUGGACCAGCGGGGAAGUGCCAGGAAUGUGGGUUUUAGCUUUGACUCUGUCACAUGCCACCUGGACAAGACGUUUUAUCUCUUAAAUCUCAGCUCCUUACACUGUGGGAUGAGAUGUCCCUCAGGGUGUGACCUGCAUCACCCUUGUCCCCUAAACAGCUGCCUGAAGGAGCUCUGGUCAGGAAGUACGUGGGGGACUGUGGAGGUGAGGUCCCGCUCUUGGAGGUUCACAUCAGGCUGCACAUUUGUAUAUUACAGCCUCUGACAAUCCCAUUAAAGACAUCUACCUUGGGAAUUCCCUGGCGAUCCAGUGGUUUGGACUCCACACUUUCACUGCUGAGGGCGUGGGUUCGAUCCAUGGUUGGGGUACUAAGAUCCCACAAGCCGCGCAGCCGGAAAAAAAAAAAAAAAGGUACUUACCUGACUAUAGUUAACCCAGGAUUUCCCGAGCUUGUUUGCCCCCGGCCCCUUCCCUGCUUUUUCCUCUGUUAAUAGCUUUAGAGACUUUAUGUCAUCAUAACACCUCUUGGGGAAUAGGAAGCUAAAAGAUUUCUGUGUCCCAUCAAUUGUGACAGUCAAAGAUUCAGCGAUUGUCCCAUCACCCGCUUGGAAAGAUACCACAAAGAUGUCAGAGAAGAUGGUCAGCUGAUUUUUCAGGAUUCCCCAUGGAAGAUAUUGGCUUGAUGCGGUUACUGUGUUUUAAGGUCUGGCUUCUAAUUUUGCGUAUCUAGAAUCUUGAUCUGGUUAAUGCAUCUGUGAUGGUUAAUAGUAUGUGUCAACUUGGCUGGGCCCCAGUGCCCAGAUAUUUAGUCAAACGUGACUCUCAGUGUUCCUGUGAAAGUGUUUUUUGGGUGAGAUUAACGUUUAAAUCAGUGGACUUUGAGUAGAGCAGAAUGCCCUCCGUUACGUGGGUGGGCCUCAUCCAACCAGGUGAAGGCCUUAAUAGCACAGAGACCAACCUCCCCAGAGCAAAAGCGGGAAUUCUGCCAGCAGACGGCCUUCAGAUUUGAACUACAGCCCUGGCUCUUCCCAGGGUCUCCAGCCUGCUGGCUAACCCUGCAGAUUUUGGACUUGCCAGCCUCCGUAAUUGUGUGAGCCAACUCCUUAAAAUAAAUGUCUCUCUCUAUAUAUACAUACACAUCCCAUUCUUUCUGUUUCUCUGGAGAACCCUGACUAACACGGCACCCAUAAAAGAACAGACUCAAGGAACUCACUACAUGAGCCAGACUCUGAAAGAAUUCAGCAAGGGGAACUCCUUCCAAGAGCAGACUUUUGCCGACGCAGCUGGUCACCCACUUUACGGGGAAAGAGAAGUAACCUGAGAUAAGAAUGUAUACAGAUUCACGGCCAGUGAUAAAUAGCUUCACUGGUUGGUCAGAGACCUGGAAGAAAAAGAGGACUAAAACCAAGCGUGUAGGUUUUUGUAUCACAUGCAAUGUUCACUAGAGAACAUUCACCAUGGAAGAGGCCACCCCGGUGCUGACACAACAGGCAUAUGACCAGAGUAGCCAUGGCAACAGGGUUGAAGGCUGUGCAUGGGCUCCAUUUACCAAGGCUCAUCUAGCUGUUACCACUGCCACUAACGUAGACCAGUGUCAAGCCCCACAUAUGGUACCAUCCCUCAAGGAGACCCACCUACCGCUUGGCGACCAGUUGGUUACAUCGGACCCCUUCUACCCUGGAAGGCUCAGCAAUUCAUCUAGACCGGAAUUAAUGAUAAUCCAGGUAUUUUUUUCUGUCCAAAGGAUCUCUGCUAGCGUCACUCUCUGAUGGCAUACAGAAUGCUUGAUCUGCUGACAUGGAAUCCAACAUAACAUCCCCCUGAACCAGAAGACGCAUUUUACAGGAAAGGAGGUAAGGAGAUGAGCAUAGAGCCAUGGGAUUCCUGGUUCUAUCACCUAUACCAGAAGCUUCCAGCAUGAUAACAUGACAGAAAGAUCUUUUGAAAGCACAGUCAAGGCGCCAGCUUAGAGAUGAUUCCCUGAGAGUUUGGCAUACUAUCUCCCCAAAUGCAAUGUACUCCCCAACUUAACUACCAGUAGAGUAUGAUGUGUCCCCGAAAGGGAGAAUACAUUGGUCCUGGAAGCAAGGGACAGAGAAGCAGAUUUGGUCCUGGUCAGUACCACUCCCAGCGACCCUGUAAGAGGUGUGCUUCUCAUCCCUCCAACUUUUGGCUCUGUGGGUCUAGAGGUCCAAGUUCUCAGAGGAGUUAAUGUUUCCACCUAGGGACACGGAACGGUCCCCAUUAGACUUUAAGCUCUGACUUCUACCUGGUGGAAAACUUUAAAUGUGUGGCUUUUAUGGUAUGUCAAGUAUAUCUCAAUAAAGCUGUUAUAAAAUAAAUGAGUAGGGCUUCCCUUGUG
Long non-coding RNA from Orcinus orca (killer whale), 3273 nucleotides. RefSeq lists it as uncharacterized. The transcript has 3 exons. NCBI's taxonomy places the organism in Eukaryota, Metazoa, Chordata, Mammalia, Artiodactyla, Delphinidae. The record is from RefSeq and is a predicted model, not a curated record.